RNAcentral lists this ribosomal RNA (476 nucleotides) under uncultured bacterium. RNAcentral's name for it is "bacterial SSU rRNA". It matches the Rfam family "Bacterial small subunit ribosomal RNA", at positions 25 to 518 of the family's 1533-position model. The record is from RNAcentral.
CAGGAUUAACGCUGGCGGCGUGCCUAAUACAUGCAAGUCGAAUGGUAGUAGCAAUACAAACCAUGGCGAACGGGUGAGUAACACGUAGGCAACCUGACUUUAAGACGAGGAUAACCGUUGGAAACGACGGAUAAUACUGGAUAGGACAUCACAAAGGGCAUCCUUAGAUGUUAAAGGUAUCAUGCCACUUAGAGAGGGGCCUGCGGCGCAUUAGCUAGUUGGUGAGAUAACAGCCCACCAAGGCGAUGAUGCGUAGCCGGACUGAGAGGUUGAACGGCCACAAUGGAACUGAGAACGGUCCAUACUCCUACGGGAGGCAGCAGUAGGGAAUUUUCGGCAAUGGGCGCAAGCCUGACCGAGCAACGCCGCGUGAACGAAGAAGUUAUUCGUAAUGUAAAGUUCUUUUAUCUGGGAAGAAAAAACAAAUUGACGGUACCAGAUGAAUAAGCUCCGGCUAACUACGUGCCAGCCGCGGC